GUGCCCAAGCGCAGCCAAUGCACGAGGAAGAAUCCAUUUUCCAGCCAUCAUUUACAGUAAGCCUUAAGGAAAGCAGGCUCAAGAGGAGCAUCAGCCUUUGCAUGGACAGGCUCCAGCGGGACUGGGGACGCGCGGAGCCAGCAGGGACGGCGCUUUGAUCCCAGCCAGCGCUUCCAGCGCGGCUUCCCUGAGCGAUCGCACACGAGGGCUUUGAAACGCGCUCCGCACCAACACCCGUGCCAGGAAAACUCCUUCUCCCGGCUUUUCUGCUGCGAGCAAGCUGCGAUAGGGAUCGCCGAGAAUAAAGUCACUUCAUUUACAAACCGGGGAGCCAAAUCUGAUAGACAUCAACAUUCGAGGGGGAAACCAGAAGGGCUGGGAACCAAAGGAGAAGCCCCAGGAGCACCUUCUCCACACCCUGCAACCAAGAAGUACCGCACAGCAGAAAAAUCCCUUUAUUUAGCCACUUUGGAGAGGCAAAGAUGCUUUUAAUAUACAAUUGCAUCUUGGAAACAUAAAGGCAGCACAUUAAAUAACAAAGCAAUUGACUGCUGGGUCCCUUUGCUGGGCCACAAAAAGCCGGGGCUCACUGGCUAAUUAUUGCCGGGCAUCCCUGUGCCUCUCCAAACAUACCAAUGCUUUCAGAAACCCACUCCAGCUGUGCCUGACAUUUCACUCCUAUUAAAAUUCAUCAUACUCCUGAA
Molecule: long non-coding RNA, 704 nt
Organism: Corvus hawaiiensis (hawaiian crow)
Lineage: Eukaryota; Metazoa; Chordata; Aves; Passeriformes; Corvidae
Exons: 2
Source: RefSeq, a predicted model, not a curated record